RNAcentral lists this ribosomal RNA (253 nucleotides) under uncultured bacterium. RNAcentral describes it as "partial 16S ribosomal RNA". It matches the Rfam family "Bacterial small subunit ribosomal RNA", at positions 524 to 776 of the family's 1533-position model. The record is from RNAcentral.
UACGUAGGGGGCAAGCGUUGUCCGGAAUCAUUGGGCGUAAAGCGCGUGUAGGCGGUCCGGUAAGUCGGCUGUGAAAGUCCAGGGCUCAACCCUGGGAUGCCGGUCGAUACUGCCGGACUAGAGUUCGGAAGAGGCGAGUGGAAUUCCCGGUGUAGCGGUGAAAUGCGCAGAUAUCGGGAGGAACACCAAUGGCGAAGGCAGCUCGCUGGGACGAUACUGACGCUGAGGCGCGAAAGCUAGGGGAGCAAACGGG